This 1497-nucleotide long non-coding RNA is filed under the name Sus scrofa (pig). RNAcentral describes it as "lncRNA (ENSSSCG00055009527.1)". Lineage: Eukaryota; Metazoa; Chordata; Mammalia; Artiodactyla; Suidae. The record is from RNAcentral.
AUUCUCAUUGAGUCUGGAAUCCUGCGGUGAGUUACUUUCUUUCAGUACAUUUUAGUUUGUUGUUUUCUGACUUGCAGUGUUUCUGUUUAGAAGUCGGCUGCCAGACUCGUUGUUCCUCUGAAGGUAAUCCAUCAGCUGAGGGUGUCAGAGAACGAGAGCGUGGCUCUGCGGGAGCUCCUGGACUGGAGGCGGAAGCUCUGCGAGGAGCGCGAAGGCUGGCAGCAGAUCCUGGGCCACUCGGAGCCCAGAGCGCCUCCCCCGCCGCCCUGCAAAAAGCCGACCCUCUUGAAGAAGCCCGAGGGGGCCUCCUGUAGCAGGCUGCCCCCCGAGUUCUGGGACACCACCAUGUGAUGGGCAGGGCUCACGGGUGAAACCUGGGAUGCCAGGUUCACGGACAGAGGCUGCCUCUACCUGGGGUCCACGCCGGGGGCGGGCUGCACACACCCAUGGGAGACGCACAGGGCGGUGGCGAAAUAGACGAGACGCCCUGGGGGCGGGGGGCGCGUGGGCCUGUGCGCAUGCGCGGGUUCUUCCUCUCCUGUUCUGCGGGGGCGCACGCUGAGCUUGAGGCUCAGGGGGCCUGGGGCCCUGCUCCCCGGGGGUAGCACCAGGCCAAGUGUAGACAAGGAGGGGGAAGCCGGUGGGAAGGCGAGCCGGCCCCGCCCACGUCCUCGUCCAGUUGUUUCUAUGUGAUGUGGUCCGACCACGUGUUUCUUGGACUCCGCUCAUGUUCCGAUCAGACACCCUGCAGGACGUACAUUUUCUUUCUUUGUGGGCAUUUGUGUUUUAUUGGAAUUACAAUCCUGGUCACUAUUUACAUGUUGGUUACUGUAUUUUAUAACUUUAUGCAAUUGGUGGUGCUCCCUUUCUUCAAAAUACAGAUUUUAAAAAAUCACUUCUAGAACUUUCUUUUUCCAGAUACCUUUUUCUUUUGAAAUGCUAGGUACCUAAAAAUCCGAGACAGUGUUGUCGCUUUCGCUUCGCAGUGUCAAGCCCUGCAAACCUACGGCCAGAGUCCCUGGUCUUAUUUCCUGUGUCCAUCCAUCAGGGGGCGGUUCCUCCCUGUGCCCAGCCAGUACGUCUGGGUGCCAGGACGGUGAACUCUUUAUUGAAAUCUCAUCCUCUGACUUCAGCGGAGGUUACAGGAAAUGAUGGGACAUGCCUGGAAACCCGCAUGGCUUCAGAUUCAUAGCUAGGGGUGUGCAGGGGUCAUAGCCGUUCAAAGGUCUACGCCGCACACAUUUUCACACGGAGAUUUUCUGGCCGGAGCAGUGAUGCCGCCCACAAGACGCUUGUCCUCGCCCGGCUCUGCUGCAUGGUGCCCCCGCUGUAGGCCCCCGCCCCCGCUGGUGGCGCACCCGCCUUGCUUACCCUCGUGCGCUCCUGGCUUUUGGGAAGCUCUGAGCCCGGCCCUCCGCACAUCCUGUGUUGCUCCCUGGAACUCCCUACGCCUCUCGGCCUUUGAAAAGUUACUGUGCCAAUAAAAGGGUACAACUC